Molecule: ribosomal RNA, 274 nt
Filed under: uncultured bacterium
Lineage: Bacteria
Description: partial 16S ribosomal RNA
Rfam family: Bacterial small subunit ribosomal RNA
Source: RNAcentral
CUACGGCGGGUGCAAGCGUUGUUCGGAAUUACUGGGCGUAAAGCGCGCGUAGGCGGUUUGUUAUGUCAGAUGUGAAAGUCCACGGCUCAACCGUGGAAGUGCAUUUGGAACUGGCAAACUUGAGUACUGGAGGGGGUGGUGGAAUUCCCGGUGUAGAGGUGAAAUUCGUAGAUAUCGGGAGGAAUACCGGUGGCGAAGGCGACCACCUGGCCAGAUACUGACGCUGAGGUGCGAAAGCGUGGGGAGCAAACAGGAUUAGAUACCCGAGUAGUCC